This 1551-nucleotide long non-coding RNA is filed under the name Androctonus crassicauda. The record is from RNAcentral. Lineage: Eukaryota; Metazoa; Arthropoda; Arachnida; Scorpiones; Buthidae.
GGCUUGUUUCGCCCCGCCACUUGGUGUUCUUCGUGAGUGGAAAGUGGCGUCAUCUGUUGACAAAAAAAAAUGCAGCUCUUUAAGAAAUCAUAUUACCUUGCCAUGGGAAAAUAUGAUCUUUUGUCAAUUGAAUUUUAUUUAUUUUUUGUCGACUAACUUUUUUGCAUUCUGUGUCAAGAUAGAUUGUUGAGGUUGGAAAUACUGUAAUGGGGUGCAAUGGAUUUAUAAUAUACCGGUAGUUAGUAUUCAUAAAUACAUAAAAUCUGUGCUGUAAAAAUGCAAAACUAAAACGAGUGCAUAUUCCUUUGACUUUAUAGCAUUCUGUUUAUCAAAAUAACCAAUCAAUGGUUGUUUUGAUAAACCAUCGACACACACAAAUAUUUUCUUUUGUGACCGCAUUAAAUGCGUCUAGAAUCGCUACUCUGAUGCUCCGUAAAAGCAUGCAUAUUCAAUCAGUAGCCAGUUAGCGACAGCAUCAGUUCCUGUGUCUAAUAUCUCCUCUCACUAUUUAUCUGGGGGUCGGCCCUAAAAACCCAAAUCGUUCCCGAUCGACCAUAGGGUCCAAUCGUUAAUUCGACCCUAUAUUUAUGCCAAUCAACGAUUGAAUGGAUUUCAUUAAUAGUCAGUUACAAACAAACGAAGCCGCCGAAGUAAGGGCCGUUAUAUGGUAUAGUAUUCGAUAGUGGGGUACUGCACUCUUUUUAUUAAUUAAUCAUCAUCACACUUAUUGGCAUAAAUAGGAUACGUUUGGCCACCAAAACAAAGACAGUUUGCUAUAUUGCAGAAAUUACGUUCGCGUCCGCCAUGUUGUUGGGGUCCCUAACCAAUGUUACGAACUAUUACGCUUUUCUAACAUUGAAGAGUCCAUCCAGGGUCGAAUGCAAUAAUAUAUUUUUUCGUGGAAAAUAAAUUGUUAUAAAAACAAAACUCGGAAUAUCAUAAAAUAAAUAAUUUGUUAAUCAAAAUAAUUUUUGUCAGUGAACAAUUAGAUUUGAAUUUGAUAAAAUUAUUGGUGGGGCUGGCAGUCCCCUUAAUGACCAGCGGCCCUACUGUAUUAUGAAUUUGUUGUUUACGCCAUCAGAAUAAAAGCUAUCUCAAAGACCUAUAUAUCGAUGAACUAUCAAUACACUGUACAGUAUUUUAAUAGGUGCUUUUGGAAACUGCACAAUACUGUAUCUAUCCCCACAGAUGUAAACAACGGUUUUGUUUAAAUGGACACCUCUGGCGAUGUAGAUUCCCAAAAAAUUACAAAAAUUCUUAAUACUGUACUUUCGUCCGCAGAUAACAGGAAGUUCUGCGAGUUUAGUGUAAUGAUAUUUUCCUAUAGAACUGAUUUCGUAGUUUUAAAUCGGUUCUAUGGGAAAAAAUACCAUCACAAUCUUUCUGUUAUAAAUCGUAAAAGCCUUUCCAUUAAUGAAAAUAUGCUAAAAGCGGAAAUUUGAUACAUAAGAUAACCGAUAAUUUAUCAAAAAUUAAUCUAAAAAGGAGAUCUAAAAAGGAGAAAAAAAAGGAAAAAAGGAAAAAAUCUAAAAGGAGAAUCUAAAAAGGAGA